CUAGCUACGUGCAGCCCAAGGGCCAAAACAUAUGCAAGCUUUGUUGAAAUCAGGCUAGCUCUUGUUAGCCUAGAAGGGCUAAAGUAAAUCCAGAUCCUGCAACACAUCCCAUAAUCCAGUUCAUCCUGCUUCUUGGCAUCUGAAAAGGACGAAGAAAAGGAAGAGCAAGCCAAACAGCUUAAUUAGUAAGAUUCAUUUACACUUUUAAUUAAAUGCAUAUACAUAAACUUGGCUACACUUAAGUGCAUUUCCAC
This 254-nucleotide long non-coding RNA is filed under the name Elaeis guineensis (African oil palm). Its description in RNAcentral is "long non-coding RNA (EGUI_LNC012421)". The record is from RNAcentral. Lineage: Eukaryota; Viridiplantae; Streptophyta; Magnoliopsida; Arecales; Arecaceae.